AGCGAACGCUGGCGGCAGGCCUAACACAUGCAAGUCGAACGGAUCCUUCGGGAUUAGUGGCGGACGGGUGAGUAACACGUGGGAACGUGCCCUUUGGUUCGGAACAACUCAGGGAAACUUGAGCUAAUACCGGAUGUGCUCUUCGGGGGAAAGAUUUAUCGCCAUUGGAGCGGCCCGCGUCUGAUUAGCUAGUUGGUGAGGUAACGGCCCACCAAGGCGACGAUCAGUAGCUGGUUUGAGAGGAUGAUCUGCCACACUGGGACUGAGACACGGCCCAGACUCCUACGGGAGGCAGCAGUGGGGAAUCUUGCGCAAUGGGCGAAAGCCUGACGCAGCCAUGCCGCGUGAAUGAUGAAGGUCUUAGGAUUGUAAAAUUCUUUCAGCGGGGACGAUAAUGACGGUACCCGCAGAAGAAGCUCCGGCUAACUUCGUG
RNAcentral lists this ribosomal RNA (433 nucleotides) under uncultured bacterium. RNAcentral describes it as "partial 16S ribosomal RNA". It matches the Rfam family "Bacterial small subunit ribosomal RNA", at positions 29 to 507 of the family's 1533-position model. The record is from RNAcentral.